GACGAACGCUGGCGGCGUGCUUAACACAUGCAAGUCGAACGGAAAGGCCCUGCUUUUGUGGGGUGCUCGAGUGGCGAACGGGUGAGUAACACGUGAGUAACCUGCCCUUGACUUUGGGAUAACUUCAGGAAACUGGGGCUAAUACCGCAUAGGAGCUCCUGCUGCAUGGUGGGGGUUGGAAAGUUUCGGCGGUUGGGGAUGGACUCGAGGCUUAUCCGCUUGUUGGUGGGGUAGGGGCUUACCCAGGCUUGGACGGGUAGCCGGCCUGAGAGGGAGACCGGCCACAUGGGGCUAGGGGAGGCCCCAGGACGCAAUCGGGGGGAAUGGGGGGGAAAUUGACCGAGAAGGGCGGAGUGAGGGAGGAACAACUCCGGGUGGGGAAACGCUGCUUUCGGGGAAGAAACCGUUUGCCCGUGAGAGUAAGCAUGGGGAAGGGAAAUGGGUAAAAAACCACGGCUAACUUCGUG
RNAcentral lists this ribosomal RNA (467 nucleotides) under uncultured bacterium. Its description in RNAcentral is "partial 16S ribosomal RNA". It matches the Rfam family "Bacterial small subunit ribosomal RNA", at positions 28 to 507 of the family's 1533-position model. The record is from RNAcentral.